This 406-nucleotide ribosomal RNA is filed under the name uncultured bacterium. RNAcentral's name for it is "partial 16S ribosomal RNA". It matches the Rfam family "Bacterial small subunit ribosomal RNA", at positions 30 to 526 of the family's 1533-position model. The record is from RNAcentral.
AUUGAACGCUGGCGGCAGGCCUAACACAUGCAAGUCGAACGAGUGGCGGACGGGUGAGUAAUGUCUGGGAAACUGCCAGAUGGAGGGGGAUAACUACUGGAAACGGUAGCUAAUACCGCAUACCAUCAGAUGUGCCCAGAUGGGAUUGGCUAGUUGGUGGGGUAACGGCUCGCAAAGGCGACGAUCCCUAGCUGGUCUGAGCGGAUGACCAGCCACACUGGAAUGGAGACACGGUCCAGACUCCUACGUGAGGCAGCAGUGGGGAAUAUUGCACAAUGGGCGCAAGCCUGAGGCAGCCAUGCCGCGUGUAUGAAGAAGGCCUUCGGGGUGUAAAGUACUUUCAGCGGGUAGGCGUUACCCGCAGAAGAAGCACCGGCUAACUCCGUGCCAGCAGCCGCGGUAAUUC